Molecule: non-coding RNA, 734 nt
Organism: Prunus avium (sweet cherry)
Lineage: Eukaryota; Viridiplantae; Streptophyta; Magnoliopsida; Rosales; Rosaceae
Source: RefSeq, a predicted model, not a curated record
GACUUUAUCUUUGUAAUUUGCCUACUAACUUAAAGCCACAAAUGAAUUCACAUGAACUAAAUGUUCGGGCACAAAGAAUCAAAAUUAUUUUCGAUUGAUGCAAAGAAUCACUGAUUUAUUUGCAAUACAAACGGUCAAGCAAGACAUCCUGCAGAUUUAACGCUCAUAAAUGUAAACUGAAUUGUAUACCACAUGAGUACAUUUCAGUUCUUGAUAAAGUAUAAGAGACAAUGUUGAACUAGACCUGAAAUCAAUUUUGAAUCUGAUUACACCCCUGUUUCACUAUUGUUCAUAUAAAUGCGUCAGUAUUUUCUGUAGCAAUUUGAGGUUAAAAAUCUAGUGACAGUCAACGUUUUCAUUGUACAAUGCAUGGGAUAUGUGAAUGAAACUAUUGGUUAUAUUUUGAGUGUUUGCAUUGAUUAGAUCCAGUGCGGCGACCUGAGCUUGAUUGGGGCAGACGCUUCAAUAUUAUUCAAGGUGUUGCUAGAGGGCUUCUUUAUCUCCACCAUGAUUCCUAUUUGAAGGUAAUACAUAGAGAUUUGAAGGUCAGUAACAUUCUCCUGGAUGAGAACAUGAACCCAAAAAUUUCAGAUUUUGGAUUGGCACGUAUCGUUCAAGGGACACAGAAUCUAACAAAUACUCAGAAGGUUGUGGGAACACUUGGCUAUAUGUCUCCGGAGUAUGCCAUGGGCGGGAUAUUUUCUGAAAAGUCUGAUGUCUAUAGCUUCGGGGUC